Molecule: long non-coding RNA, 353 nt
Organism: Cygnus atratus (black swan)
Lineage: Eukaryota; Metazoa; Chordata; Aves; Anseriformes; Anatidae
Exons: 3
Source: RefSeq, a predicted model, not a curated record
GCCCUCUGCCCUUGGCUGCGUCCUUGCGCCCAAAGAUGUUGCCCCAUGCAGUGCUGCUGUGCCUGGCUGUCCCCGCUACCAAAGAGGCAAAGACGUCCAUAAAGAGUCUGGCUCUGCCUUCUUUGUAACUUCUUCAUAUGGUGCUACUAGGUUUCCUGGGACCUUCUCUUCUCCUGGCUGUACAAGUCCAAUUCAUACAGCCAUUUCUUCCACACCAUUCGAAAUGCCUUGGGAGUUGGGAAGAAAAGGGAAGGGAAGAGAAAAGAAAGGAAGGGAAGAGGAAAAAAGAGAAGACACCCAUCACUGGAGCUGGCCUGUGAGAGCUUUGGAUGCAAACCACUUGGAAGCUCUAC